GGAGGAAUGGUCGAGUGGUUAAAGGCAGCAGGCUGUAAACCUGCCGACGGUGUCGUCUACGUAGGUUCGAAUCCUACUUCCUCCA
RNAcentral lists this transfer RNA (85 nucleotides) under Candidatus Cytomitobacter indipagum. RNAcentral describes it as "tRNA-Tyr". It matches the Rfam family "tRNA". Rfam says of the family: Transfer RNA (tRNA) molecules are approximately 80 nucleotides in length. The record is from RNAcentral. Lineage: Bacteria; Pseudomonadati; Pseudomonadota; Alphaproteobacteria; Holosporales; Holosporaceae.